RNAcentral lists this ribosomal RNA (253 nucleotides) under uncultured bacterium. RNAcentral describes it as "partial 16S ribosomal RNA". It matches the Rfam family "Bacterial small subunit ribosomal RNA", at positions 524 to 776 of the family's 1533-position model. The record is from RNAcentral.
UACGAAGGUGGCAAGCGUUAUCCGGAUUGAUUGGGCGUAAAGCGUCCGCAGACGGUUUGGUAUGUUACAGGUCAAAUCCUGAAGCUCAACUUCAGGGCUGCUUGUAAAACUGCCAUGCUAGAGACUGGAAGAGGCAAACGGAAUUAUCGGUGUAGCGGUAAAAUGCGUUAAUAUCGAUAAGAACACCAAAUGCGAAGGCAGCUUGCUGGUACAGUUCUGACGUUAAGGGACGAAAGCGUGGGGAGCGAAUGGG